GCCGCGUGCCCCCGCGCUCGCAGGGGUUGGCGACUGGGGGCGGUUGGGAGUUCGUGUUUAGGGAGGAAGGUGAGAGGUGCGGGAUCUGCCCACGAGGGCAGUCGCUCUCGGAGAAUCGGGGAAUGGCUCUGUCAGGUCGCAGGCCCUCCUCCGCCUUUAUCCCCAUCACGCACAAAAAGAAUGGGCCUUGCAAGGGAUGUUUAUUAUGCACUUUUAAGUGACUAUUCAGAAAAGAGCAGGAGGCACAAUAAAAAAGGCUUCUGCCCCACCAAUUCCCUUCCCUUGAAGAAAAAAAGAAAGAGAAAGCCACCCACAAAGCUAACAGGUACCCAGUGAUGUUUGCUCUCAUGGCAGACAUCGAUUGGACACUGCUUGAUUCUCUGCCACCUUUAGGAUGCUUCUUGCCUGCUGCACAUGUCUGGGGGCCUCAUCCAUGACCCUAUACAAGAGUAAAAUUCCUAUUGAUAUCAACAAAGUGCUUGAUGUGAGUGUCAGCUGUAUCACUAAAGCCAUCCCAGAACUUCUCAGGACAUUUCAGGUAUACUUCAAUAAAGUUUAACAAAAAAAAAGGUCUUGACCCACGAUUGCUGGCAUUGCUGGUUUGAAGAUGGAGGAGCCGUGUGUAAAGGAAUGCAGGUGGCCUUCAGCAGCCAACAGCAGCCCCUGGCUGACAACCAGCAAGGAAACCGGGCCUCAGUCCUACUGCUGCAAGGAACUGAAUUUAGCCAACGAUCUAAAUGAGCUUGGAAGCAGUUUCUUCCCAGCUCUUCCACACAAGAGCCCAGCACUGAAUGUAGCCUUGCCCAUGAUGAGCACCUAGAAACCUUUGACUGAUUGACUUAUAACGCAAUAUGAACUCAGAGAAGGAAGGCCCUGGCAGUGAGAAAUCCGCCUUGCAGAGGAAGAACUGAAGCUGAGCCUUGAAAGACGAGUGUUUGUUGAAUGAGUGAAUUAAGAUUUUGAAUCAGCUAAUCUUUUGAAGGGAUUUUUUUAAAAUUGUAAGUAACUUUAUUUAAUCUAUACUCUGGUUCAGUAACUUCUCCAUUGAAGGUGAUUUUUCCCAAUAAUUCUUUGUUCAGUUCAUAUUAGACCCGGCAUUCUUCUCCUUUCAGAUUUUAAUAUGUUAAAAAUCCAUAGUUAACAACUCAACUUGCCUUCUUUUUCCACCAACUCAAGAAGUUAGGGACACUUUGUUGAUGUCCUCAAAUUUAUCCUGCUGAGCUCCAAACAGGUUUUGUGUCAUCUAAGGAAGUGGAGGUUCCUUGGGAGGUUAAGAGUUCAAGGAGCAAAAAGACCAUUUUAAUUGCAUCAAUAAUCCAGUCGACAGCACUUACUGGUUUUGUCUGCUCAACCAUUCUUUCAGUUUUCACCAAAAAAGGAACUCAUUUUCAUUUCCCCACUGUUGCUGGUAGUUGGAGGUUGCAAUAUGCAAAAGCCUAUAUGCGUAAGACCCCUCAAAUCAGUCAGUACUCAAAAUUGUGUGCAAAAUAUGAAUAAAAUAUUGAUUUCAUUAAAAAU
RNAcentral lists this long non-coding RNA (1518 nucleotides) under Equus asinus (donkey). Its description in RNAcentral is "lncRNA (ENSEASG00005027483.1)". The record is from RNAcentral. Lineage: Eukaryota; Metazoa; Chordata; Mammalia; Perissodactyla; Equidae.